UAAGCGGAGGAAAGAAACUACAAGGAUUCCCCUAGUAACUGCGAGUGAAGCGGGAAAAGCUCAAAUUUAAAAUCUGGUGGUCUUUGGCCAUCCGAGUUGUAAUCUAGAGAAGCGUCUUCCGCGCUGGACCGUGCACAAGUCUCCUGGAACGGAGCGUCGUAGAGGGUGAGAAUCCCGUCUUUGGCAUGGACACACCAGGGCUUUUGUGAUGCGCUCUCGAAGAGUCGAGUUGUUUGGGAAUGCAGCUCAAAAUGGGUGGUGAACUCCAUCUAAAGCUAAAUAUUGGCGAGAGACCGAUAGCGAACAAGUACCGUGAGGGAAAGAUGAAAAGCACUUUGGAAAGAGAGUGAAACAGUACGUGAAAUUGUUGAAAGGGAAACGCUUGAAGUCAGUCGCGUCGACCGAGACUCAGCCUCGCCUCGGCUUGGCGUACUUCUCGGCCCGACGGGUCAGCAUCAAUUUCGCCUCUUGGAUAAUGGCGAGGGAAACGUGACACCUUUACGGUGUGUUAUAGUCUCUCGUCGCAUGCAAGGGUCGGGAUUGAGGAACUCAGCACGCGCCUUUGGGCGUCGGGGCUUUGCCUACGAUACGUGCUUAGGAUGUUGGCGUAAUGGCUUUAAACGACC
RNAcentral lists this ribosomal RNA (626 nucleotides) under uncultured Russulaceae. RNAcentral describes it as "LSU rRNA". It matches the Rfam family "Eukaryotic large subunit ribosomal RNA", at positions 47 to 649 of the family's 3401-position model. Lineage: Eukaryota; Fungi; Basidiomycota; Agaricomycetes; Russulales; Russulaceae. The record is from RNAcentral.